CCUACGGGGAGCAGCAGUGAGGAAUAUUGCACAAUGGGGGAAACCCUGAUGCAGCGACGCCGCGUGAGUGAAGAAGUAAUUCGGUAUGUAAAGCUCUAUCAGCAGGGAAGAAACAGACGGUACCUGAGUAAGAAGCCCCGGCUAACUACGUGCCAGCAGCCGCGGUAAUACGUAGGGGGCAAGCGUUAUCCGGAUUUACUGGGUGUAAAGGGAGCGUAGACGGCGAAGAAAGUCUGAAGUGAAAGCCCGCGGCUUAACCGCGGAACUGCUUUGGAAACUUUUUUGCUGGAGUACCGGAGAGGUAAGCGGAAUUCCUAGUGUAGCGGUGAAAUGCGUAGAUAUUAGGAGGAACACCAGUGGCGAAGGCGGCUUACUGGACGGUAACUGACGUUGAGGCUCGAAAGCGUGGGGAGAAAACAGGAUUAGAUACCCCUGUAGUC
RNAcentral lists this ribosomal RNA (440 nucleotides) under uncultured bacterium. RNAcentral describes it as "partial 16S ribosomal RNA". It matches the Rfam family "Bacterial small subunit ribosomal RNA", at positions 338 to 795 of the family's 1533-position model. The record is from RNAcentral.